Molecule: non-coding RNA, 2547 nt
Organism: Oncorhynchus mykiss (rainbow trout)
Lineage: Eukaryota; Metazoa; Chordata; Actinopteri; Salmoniformes; Salmonidae
Source: RefSeq, a predicted model, not a curated record
CAGCAUUUGUGAUUUCAAUUACAGGCUCAAAAUGGUCAACAGCUGCAGCUCCAGUCCAUACAGCUGCAGCUCCAGUCCAUACAGCUGCAGCUCCAGUCCAUACAGCUGCAGCUCCAGUCCAUACAGCUGCAGCUCCAGUCCAUACAGCUGCAGCUCCAGUCCAUACAGCUGCAGCUCCAGUCCAUAUAGCUGCAGCUCCAGUCCAUAUAGCUGCAGCUCCAGUCCAUACAGCAGCAGCUCCAGUCCAUAUAGCUGCAGCUCCAGUCCAUAUAGCUGCAGCUCCAGUCCAUAUAGCUGCAGCUCCAGUCCAUACAGCAGUAGCUCCAGUCCAUACAGCUGCAGCUCCAGUCCAUACAGCAGCAGCUCCAGUCCGUACAGCAGGCUAUAGGGUGAGUCCUCUGGAGGCCUGGACACUGUUGUUGUGUGCAAAGAGAAUGACCUUCAGGUUGUCCUCCCACCAUUCCCGGAACCCGUCAAGGGACUUGCCCAUGGCAGUCUUGAGGGUGUGGUUGGUUCGUUCAUCCAAACCUGGAGGAGGAGGUAGGAAAGGCAUAUCUAUUGACAAUGGAAGAUAUUAAAAUGUUGGAUUAUGUCAAAUCAAAUUGUAUUUGUCACAUGCUCCAAAUCCAACAGGUAGACCUUUCUGUAAAAUGCUUACUUACAAAGCCCUUAACCAACAAUGCAGUUCAAGAAACAGUUAAGAAAAUAUUUACUAAAUAAACUAAAGUAAAAAUAGUCAAAUAAAAAGUAACACAAUAAAAAUAACAAUAACGGGGCUAUAUAGAGGAGGUACCGGUACCGAGUGGAGGUACAGGUUAGUGACCCCGUGGAAGGUCACUGAUGCCAGGAGAAGUGUGAAGACGGAUGAAAACGUAAAUCAACAAAAUGAAUGUUACUGUGUGAAUGAAAUUGUCAUGUUUGGAUUGUUCAAGAGUUCGUAAAGAGCUAUGAAUGUGGAUAUAUUUCAUUGUACUGCAGAUGCUUUGGAUUUAUAGUUACAGGGAAACUGUGGAAAGUUCAGAGGAAGCAACACACGGGUGCGCUCCUAUCAUUUAAAUAUAGUUGAUUAGAUUAGAAUCUGGUUGUGUUUUCCUUUCUUACAUUUUCCCCUGAGCCAUAUGUGUACCCAAUUCAGCUAAAUGUAAUCCUAUUGAUAAGCUUGAAAUGUUUUCCUAUUUAAUUUGCAUAAGUUAACCAUUGUGAUUAAUGAUAUUUACUAUCUUCUGCUUUUUAUGAAUAAACAGGCAUCAGUAAAAACAACCACAACAAAAGGUUUUGAUGCUCUGCAUAAGGCCCUUUGAUUUUUUAUUUGUUUUCCAUGAAUGACGACUGCAGUGGAAGAAUGAGAGAAGGCGAUGUACUCGCGACUGGUGACUGGCUGGUGUGUGAGGCCCAGCAUGAUGACUCAAUCACGAUGUAUUGCAUUGUCUGGAUGGAAGACCAUCUGUGGCCUUUUACAAGGUCACAAAGCUUGCUGCUGUGAUGGCACAGUAUUUCACCCAGUAGAUAAGAGUGUGGCGAUCUUUAAGAAGAGACGUGAACAUUGAAGUCCUUGGGUCACUGAUGGCAGGAGAGGUGUGAAGACAGAUGAAAAGGUGAAUCAGCGAAAUGAAUGUUACUGUGUGAAUGAAAUUGUCAUGUUUGAAUUUUUCAAGAAUUCACAGAGCUACGAAUUGGUAUAUAUUUUCUUUGUGCUGUAAGUGCUGUGGAUUUAUUGUUACAGGGAGUGUUAUUUUGUUGGUCGGGCAGCGGAUAGUUCAAAAAGGGAGCAACACAAGGAUGCGCCCCUCUCAUUUACAUUGAGUUGAUUAGAUUUGAAUCUGGCUGUGUUUUCCUGUCUUGUUUUAACUAGCAAAGAAAUGUUGAUUUGGGUUGGGCGUGAGUUUCUGCUUGAAUUUGGUUAAAAGGACAGUGUUCAUACUUUGAGAACUUGCUACCGUGUAUCAGACACACAUUGUGUUUUCUCAUAGAGACUAUUCUGAACUGAAGACACAUGUUACCAUGUUGUUUUAGCCUAUUUGGUGAUAGUCAAAUACUCUGUGUUAUUCUGUAAUGUAUAAUGUUUCAUGUACACUAAUUGUUUGAGUGUCAAUUAUUUCAUCAUAUUAGUUAAAUAGAGUAAAUGCAAUCCUCGUUUCACAGAGUAAUUAUUUGAUUGACUAAAUGUUUAUAAUUUAGAAGGUUUAUUGGUAGUUGUUAUUUACACUAUACACUUACAGUACUGUAGCAUAUUGUUGGGUACCACCUUGGCAUCUCUGACCUGCUUGCCUCAAUUAAUUAAUGCUAGAACAGUGGUCGCCAGGAUUAGCUAUUUGUAUCUAGUCUCUUAAUAAUUGCAUAACAGUGCAAGUUAGACAUGUUCAUUAUCGUCGUACUGUCAUUGAUGCAAUGAUUCACUAUCUUGUUAGAUCCUCCAGAGAAGCACAGGGCCUGUUGCAUUCAUUUUUACAGAAAACCACAAACCACCACUGCAAUAUUGGCCUACACUCAGAAAAAAAGGUGCUAUCUACAACCUAAAAGGAUCAUGAUAACAUGCAACAUAGCACC